Molecule: ribosomal RNA, 329 nt
Filed under: uncultured archaeon
Lineage: Archaea
Description: bacterial SSU rRNA
Rfam family: Archaeal small subunit ribosomal RNA
Source: RNAcentral
GGGCGGGAGAGGUUGAGGGUACUUCGCGGGUAGGGGCGAAAUCCUAUAAUCCGCGAAGGACCACCAGUGGCGAAGGCGCUCAACUGGAACGCGCCCGACGGUGAGGGACGAAAGCCAGGGGAGCAAAGGGGAUUAGAUACCCCCGUAGUCCUGGCUGUAAACGAUGCGGGCUAGGUGUUGGGUUGGCUUCGUGCCAACCCGGUGCCGCAGUGAAGACGAUAAGCCCGCCGCCUGGGAAGUACGGCUGCAAGGCUGAAACUUAAAGGAAUUGGCGGGGGAGCACCACAAGGGGUGAAGCCUGCGGUUUAAUUGGAGUCAACGCCGGGAAU